Molecule: unclassified non-coding RNA, 334 nt
Filed under: soil metagenome
Description: partial contains 5.8S ribosomal RNA, internal transcribed spacer 2, and large subunit ribosomal RNA
Rfam family: 5.8S ribosomal RNA (bases 1-120)
Source: RNAcentral
GAUGAAGAACGUAGCGAAAUGCGAUACGUAAUGUGAAUUGCAGAAUUCAGUGAAUCAUCGAAUCUUUGAACGCACAUUGCGCCUGCCAGCACUCUGGCAGGCAUGCCUGUUCGAGCGUCAUUUCAACCAUCAAGCCCUAGGCUUGCGUUGGAGCCCUGCGGCUGCCGCAGGCCCCUAAAAGCAGUGGCGGGCUCGCCAUCACACCGAGUGCAGUAGAUUACUCUUCGCUCAGGGCGUGUGGCGGGUUCCAGCCGUGAAACCCCCUACUUCUCAAGGUUGACCUCGGAUCAGGUAGGAAUACCCGCUGAACUUAAGCAUAUCAAUAAGCGGAGGA